CCCGAGGUAGCUCAACUGGCAGAGUAUCCGGCUCUUACCCGGAGUGUUGCGGGUUCGACUCCCGCCCUCGGGA
Molecule: transfer RNA, 73 nt
Filed under: Sulfidibacter corallicola
Lineage: Bacteria; Pseudomonadati; Acidobacteriota; Holophagae; Acanthopleuribacterales; Acanthopleuribacteraceae
Rfam family: tRNA
About the family: Transfer RNA (tRNA) molecules are approximately 80 nucleotides in length. Their secondary structure includes four short double-helical elements and three loops (D, anti-codon, and T loops). Further hydrogen bonds mediate the characteristic L-shaped molecular structure. tRNAs have two regions of fundamental functional importance: the anti-codon, which is responsible for specific mRNA codon recognition, and the 3' end, to which the tRNAs corresponding amino acid is attached (by aminoacyl-tRNA synthetases). tRNAs cope with the degeneracy of the genetic code in two manners: having more than one tRNA (with a specific anti-codon) for a particular amino acid; and 'wobble' base-pairing, i.e. permitting non-standard base-pairing at the 3rd anti-codon position.
Source: Rfam by way of RNAcentral